RNAcentral lists this unclassified non-coding RNA (715 nucleotides) under Hevea brasiliensis (rubber tree). Lineage: Eukaryota; Viridiplantae; Streptophyta; Magnoliopsida; Malpighiales; Euphorbiaceae. The record is from RNAcentral.
ACUCCCAAUUCCAUCCCCUCAACUUUUCCAGGGAGAGUGCAAAUAUAUCAGGAUCAUGGCUGAGUCAGUUGGGAGUAGGAACAUGGAUAGAAAGCUUAUACAGAUCGAUAUUAGCUCCGACACGGUUUGCCCCUGGUGCUUUGUUGGCAAAAAGAAUCUUGACAAAGCAAUAUCUGUUUCUCAGGAUCAAUAUGAUUUUGAGUUGAAGUGGCAUCCCUUCCAGCUCAACCCUUCUGCUCCCAAAGAAGGUGUUGUUAAGAGGGAAUAUUACAGGAGUAAGUUUGGAAUUCAAUCUGAACAGAUGGAAGCUCGGAUGGCAGAGGUGUUUAAGGGUCUUGGACUGAAUUAUGACACAUCUGGGCUGACGGGAAAUACUCUAGAUAGCCACAAGCUUAUAUAUUUGGCAGGUCAACAAGGUUCAGGCAAACAACAUGAUCUUGUGGAGGAGUUGUGCCUUGGAUACUUCACUCAAGGAAAAUACAUUGGUGACCGGGACUUUCUUUUGGAAUGUGCUAGAAAGGCGGGGGUGGAAGGAGCAGCAGAGUUUCUCGAGUCAGCUGAUGAAGGAGUUAAGGAGGUCAAGGAGGAGCUUGAGAAGUACUCAGGAAAAAUUUCAGGAGUUCCCUUUUAUGUUAUCAAUGGGAAGCACAAGUUGAGUGGUGCUCAACCCCCUGAGGUUUUUCUAAGAGCUUUUCAAGUGGCAGGGAAAUGACCG